GCAUUAGUGGGGUAGUGGUAACCUGGGUCGUUGCCAUCAGGUACCGCAAUGCGGCUAGUUUCGACCCGCCGGGAGUUCGAUUCUCUCCUAAUGCA
This is a non-coding RNA of Mycena rebaudengoi, 95 nucleotides long. The record is from the annotation of a GenBank genome assembly. NCBI's taxonomy places the organism in Eukaryota, Fungi, Basidiomycota, Agaricomycetes, Agaricales, Mycenaceae.